Molecule: long non-coding RNA, 263 nt
Filed under: Carica papaya (papaya)
Lineage: Eukaryota; Viridiplantae; Streptophyta; Magnoliopsida; Brassicales; Caricaceae
Description: long non-coding RNA (CPAP_LNC006801)
Source: RNAcentral
UUUAAUUUUAGAUAAAUAUUUAAUUUAGUCCUUAAAUUAUAUCCAAUUUUAUUUUUAUUUUUUUAUUAUAAAUUAGUCCAUAAAUUUUAAAAAUUAUUUGAACAUGUAUGGGGUCCAUACAUGUUGACACCAAAUGAAGACCUUCUUGAAGCGAUUUAUUCGGCACAUAAGCAUUUAUGAAGAAGAACGCUGCUUGGAGCUUUCUGGAGAUUUAAAUACAAAGUAGAAGUAAUGUCGGUGAUGAGUAAUGACUUGAACCGAAC